CAGGCUGUAAGGAAGUUGGGUAGUAAGAAAAGCAAUAUAUACAAUGGAGCAUUAAUCAAUUCAAAAUGUUGUAAUUUUGACUGCAACUGAUUGUAGAGCACUUGUAAUGACUGAUUUUCCCAGUAAGCUGAAUCUUGCUGAUCCGAAUUCGAUGGUGCUAGCAGUUGAAAUGCUGCCCAGCCUAAACAGAGCUACUAUCAUUUUGCAUCUACUUCUCAACUUCCUGAAAAAUAUAAGUCACGUGCCUUCGGAAAUAUUAUAGUUAAAAGCCCAAAAGACAAGGUUGAAUGCACACAAAACAACUCAAAGUUUAGAUCAUUUCCUUUGCAAACCAUAUGCUACAAUCUACCCAAAGACCAAGGUUUCAGGUAAAAGCAGUACCAAUGAUAUAAAUUACUUCUAUCUGGACGUACAAAAAUGGUUAGUGAUCACAGUUCUGAUGCUAUAGAAACCAUAUAACUAUAACUCUCCAUGUCUAAAUCAUACCUAACACUUCAAAAUUUCUCCAAAAGACCGCUAGUAUUAUUUGCAAUUUACAAUGAAAACAAAUGAAACCACAAAUGCCCACGAAGGGUAUUAACGCUUGAGUGCAGCACUGUGCACCCAACCACUUAAGAAGCAUAUGCAGCGCAUGAACUCCAGCCAGCAUACACAAAAUAGUGCACAAAGGAGCAAAGGCUAUGGAUAUUUGUACUCUAACAGAAGGCACAAAAAGCUAAAGCCACAACAAAAGAACUGCUUGGGCACAUGGAAAUGAUUACAAUUAUGAAAGGUCUAUUCACUUCUCCGUAUAACUUAAUGACUCAUGUUCCUAGUAGGAAGACAAGGCAUCCCGUACGCAGCUGAGCAUUGAAGUCACGACAGAUGAAACAACAUACAGAAAAGGGAACAUAAAUAGCUGAUAAUGAAUCUUUGAUAUCAUGCCCAAUUUUCUCAAACCAAGACGAAGAAUGCUAGCAUAUAUGAAUUCCUUAAUUUCAACCAACAAACCUUAUCAUAUCCAGGUAAAGCGUUCUACGACCAAGCUGAAUUGAAUUCCUAUCAUUUGGUGUAAGCUCAUUCAACAAAGUAGCAAUUGUCCAGGUCUCCCUUACAACUAAAAAGUCUCCAGAAAGUAGCAAAGGCAAUGAUGACACUAGAACUUGAAUGGAAUUGUGAGACACAAAUCUCCUAUUCCUAUCCUCUUGCACUUUUUCUUAUUCUGAACCAAAUGCACCCCAACACACAUGCAGAAUCCCUAUGUAUUCUAGAUGUAGAGUUGCAGUCUAACCAGGUGAAACAAGUUAAGGCAACACUAUUAGAAGAAGAUGACACAGCCUGACAUGAUAUUAGAAUGCAAGGAUUAAUGUAGCAUUCUGAAGUUGCCAAACAAGGACAAUGAAAAUUGAAGCAAAAAAAAAAAAGGGGAAAAAUGCAGAUAGUAACAUGUUCACAAGCUAGCAAAGCUUGACGUCUAUUUACCAUCAUCCACAUACAUAGUUAAACAUGAUGCAUUAUACACAAAUAAACAUCUUAAAGCAUGUCAUACAAAAAUUUCUCAUCUCCCAGCAAAUAAUAAAGCAAAAAAAAAUUCUGAUUUGUAACUGAUGGAUGGAGUAUAUUCAAGGUGUUGUUAGGCAGACUACACAAAAUCCUUAAAAGAACUAGACACUAAAACACCCAUGCAUUAUAAUUAUUUAAAAUACCAUACACUCGUUUUGUUCAAAUAAAUCCAUCGACCUAAAGCUUAAGCAUACUAAAAAAAUCCAUCCACCUUGUCCACCCUAGUGAACUUGCCGAGCACGUUAUCUUUGAGAGCACCAAGGCCAUCACCAAAUUCACUAGUUCCAGAUACUAUAUCCUUUUUCCUUCUCUUGGUUCAGUUUGGUGUACAUUUUUUUCCAUUUUUGAAUGGAUACAUCAUCUUUUCUAUUGCUUCAAUAAAUUGAGAUAUGUCAAUUCAGAAGAUUUUUUUUUUAUAAAAAAAAAUCUAUUAUCAUGAUAUCUACCUAUCUUCAAAGCAUUACCACACUACUCAUAGGGUAUACUUGGUGUUGCUUCUACUUUAGGGAAAGAGAAUUAGAACCCAUCUACAGCGUUUCUUUUGACCUAAUCUUCUUGUAGAAAUACCUUUUAGAUGAUGUAACCAAACACUAAUUUUUAUUGGAAAGUGGUGUUUUGCCUUCAAAAUCACAAAAGCACUUUUUUAGGCAACACCAAACGCACCCAUAACCUUUUGUUCUUUCUGAAAUGUCACCUGUUAUGAUAUCAACAUCAUAAAGCCCUUUGAGAAUAUGAAAUUCAUGAAAAAACUCAUACCCUGCUAUCUAUAGCCUUUAUUGCCUUUUGUGCUUCAGCUUCAUAUUCAUAAGUCACAAAGAAUACCCUGCGGCCUUUGGGAUCUUACAUUUCUAAUAUGCCGCAGGUGCAAUAACACAAAUAAAAGCCAAAAUCGAAUGAUUAUGCUAAACUUUAUGAUCACGAGUCACAAUCCAAAUGGUUAGAGAGAGAGAGAUGCUAAAAAGAUCAAAGCUAACAAUAUUUACUAUUUAUGCAAGGAAAAAAAAAGCCCACAUAAACCAGAUAGCAAGUUUUAGGUACCACAAAUUGAAACUUCAUCAAAUGUUCACCUUAAAUUUUCAAAAACAAUUCAAAUAUGGCAAAAUUAUAAUACAAAAUAUGGUUUCAAAUAUCAGUAUUGGAUCACAUACCGGUUUUUUGCCAGAAGUACCAGCAUAUGGUACAUGACCCUUACCAUCUACACACUGUGCCCCAGUGCCAAAAAUGAAAAACCUGCUGGAGUGUUAUAGUACCAUUCUUGGCAUCCCAUUUUGGCGAUAUUUAAAACAUUGAUGCAAAAAGCAAUCCUAUUAAUAAAAGAUGAUUCCAGGAGUGCACAAAAACCAACUAAAUAAAUUCAUAAAUCCAGCUAGAAAACGAUACCUUCCUUGACAUUGCUAAAUGGCAAAAAGGCUUCUCAAAAUUCUUCACCCAUAGUAUAAUAUGACAAUCCUACAAACCCACAGCAAUUGCAUUCCAACUUGAUCAGAUCUUUCC
This 3036-nucleotide long non-coding RNA is filed under the name Elaeis guineensis (African oil palm). RNAcentral's name for it is "long non-coding RNA (EGUI_LNC011563)". The record is from RNAcentral. Lineage: Eukaryota; Viridiplantae; Streptophyta; Magnoliopsida; Arecales; Arecaceae.